This 291-nucleotide ribosomal RNA is filed under the name uncultured soil bacterium. RNAcentral's name for it is "partial 16S ribosomal RNA". It matches the Rfam family "Bacterial small subunit ribosomal RNA", at positions 26 to 320 of the family's 1533-position model. The record is from RNAcentral.
AGAUUGAACGCUGGCGGCAGGCCUAACACAUGCAAGUCGAGCGGUAGAGAGGUGCUUGCAUCUCUUGAGAGCGGCGGACGGGUGAGUAAUGCCUAGGAAUCUGCCUAGUGGUGGGGGAUAACGUUCGGAAACGGACGCUAAUACCGCAUACGUCCUACGGGAGAAAGCGGGGGACCUUCGGGCCUCGCGCCAUUAGAUGAGCCUAGGUCGGAUUAGCUAGUUGGUGAGGUAAUGGCUCACCAAGGCGAGAUCCGUAACUGGUCUGAGAGGAUGAUCGAUCACACGUAGAAC